Long non-coding RNA from Adelges cooleyi (spruce gall adelgid), 476 nucleotides. RefSeq lists it as uncharacterized. The transcript is spliced from 3 exons. NCBI's taxonomy places the organism in Eukaryota, Metazoa, Arthropoda, Insecta, Hemiptera, Adelgidae. The record is from RefSeq and is a predicted model, not a curated record.
UACAUCUUAAACGGGUAUAUAUAGGCUUGUGACGACCGGCAAACGCAUAUUACUUUCUUACCAAGUCUUUGUGCAUUCACAACUCGUUUGAAACACUCAGAAAAAAAACUCAACCAAAAUCUCCAUCAUGUCCAAGUUCACGAUGUUUUUGCUGGUAGCCAUCGCCUUGGCUUUCAUCGGUUCUGCCGCCGCUCAAUUUGUCGUCUACCCGACCAACCCCGUGUACUACAACCCUUAUGGAUACAACUACCCUCUGACCUACAACUACAGACUUGGCGGAUACCCUUACCUCUUACGCCGUUAACCAUUCACUUCAGCCAUAAUGUGAUCUUUACCGCUACACUUCUUUUUCAAUAUUAUUCUAUCUAUACAUCCAAUCAUCAAAACGUCGAAGCCGCCUGUGAAUCGGAAAAAAACAACGUUUUCCCUUUUUGUAUAAUACAUUAAAUUAUUUUAAAUAUAUUAUUUUGUUUAUA